UGAGGUCAGAUGUCAACAAAAAGAGGUGGAUACAAAUUUUGUAAAAGAACUUUUGUAAGAAGAUCAUGACUUUAGCAUGUGAUUCAUAUUCUGCACUUACUUAGAAUUAAAGGAAGUUACAGCCCUUCAAAUCGAAUAGUUGAAGUUCAGAUCAGAUGAAAUUCAUUCGAGAACAUAAACUGAGAAUAAAGGUGUAGAAUGUUGACAUGGAGUUUAUUAGUAUUAUUGCAGAUAAGCCAUAUUUCAUCAGAGAUCAUCAAAGUUAAUGUCUCCUCAGGAAGUACUUACCUGGACAUAUCAUGGGAGGAGACAAAGGAAGGUGUAAACUAUACCCUAGGUUACGGUAUCCCUGGCAACAUAACAAACCAGGAAAUAGACUAUACCCUGACCACAGAUAAUAUUGCUACAUAUCAGUUAGAUAAUUUAAGUCCAGGUGUUAUAUAUACGUUACAGCUGAAUAAGGAUGGCACGGAAGUUUUCAAAUCUACAGGAACUACAAAACCUCUUCCACCGUCCUCUCUUGUUGUCUCAGAUGCUGGUACUGAUUACCUAUACCUUACUUGGCAGGGAAACAGUAGAAGUACUCAGGAUUCAUACAGAGUUACGGUUACUGAAACAAACAAUAACUCAGAACUGUAUAAAUCCGACCCAAUAACAGUGGAGUAUCAUAACUUGACAGGAUUAUAUCCAGGAGCCUUGUACAGUAUAGCUGUAGAUAGUAUAAGUAAUGGUGUAUACAGUAAUGGUACUGCCAGGAUCAUUGAUAAUACAAGACCAUUACCACCAACGAUACAUUGGAUUAUGGCUAUAGAUAAUUAUACACUGAUGUUAGCAUGGAAAGAAGACUUUAAUAGCCAACAGGACCAUGUAUACUUAUCAGCUACUUAUAACAACACAUUUAAUUAUGAGGGUGAGAUGAAUCUGACCUGUACUAUGUUAUUGUCCACCUGUGUGACCGAGGUCAGGGGUGUUAUUCCUGGCACACCUAUAGAGAUCAGGGCAUACUCUGUACAAAACAACAGGAGAAGUGAUCCUGAUAUAGCUUUCCAUUCUACCAAGCCAGAGACUGUAACCAGUCUACUAGAGAAUAGUAGUACUACAUCUUCACUUGAGUUGUCAGUAACUCCACCAUUUACUUCAGUAUUUGUGAAUUACUCUGUCAGUAUUGAUGAUGGUUACUUCUACUUUAGAAACUAUACUUAUCCAGCAAGUCACACAACAUUUACUAUAGGGAAUCUGUCAGCAGGGAUAGAGUAUAAUGUCUCUGUUGGUACUGUAUCUGAAUGGGAAGAAAGCAGGAACCAAUUUAGUAGGAUUUUCUAUACAAAUCCUAGCAUGCCAGGAGAUAUAGAUAUUUUAACCAAGGAUAUCCUAACUACGUCACUGAAGAUAUCCUGGGGACCUGUGGAGAGUGGACAGCUGGAUUAUUAUGAAGUUGAAAUUUCCCCUAAAGAAUCUCAGACUCAUUCACCUUUUCUCCAGACCAAUACAGAUGAACGAACUGUAAAAUUUGAUUCUCUGGUCCCAGGGAGGAAAUACUCCAUCACAGUCACAGCAGUAAAAGGACAGAAGAAAAAUAGUACAAAGACGGUGGAACAAUAUACCAAACCAAAUCCUCCAUCUAAGAUCUUACACACUGUAAUUGGAGGUCGUGAGAUACAUUUAGACUGGUUCAAGCCUACAGUAGGAGAAGUUGAGAAUUACACAGUCAGUAUCCUCUCCCUUGGUAUAAAUGGCACUACGAACACCACCCUACCAAUAGCUCCAAUCACCUUACAGGGGACAUCAUACAGCUUCACACAGCUCCACCCAGGAGAGACCUAUGAGAUAUCUAUUGUUUGUAGGAGUGGUGGAGUUACCAGUGAUCCCCUCAAGAUUACAGCAACUACAAAUUCAACGUCAGUAUCAGAAUUAUUUGUUGACCAUGUAACAGAAGACUAUAUAAAUAUAUCUUGGUCACGGCCAGAGAACUUGACCUUCCAGACAUUUAAACUGGCCAUUAAUCCACCAGAUAGUACCACACCUCUUUCUAUACAAGAAUCAGCUGGGAUAUUGUUUCAUAGUUUUACAGGACUACAUCCAGGAACAGUAUAUAAUUUGUCUAUCUAUCUUAUAUCAGGGACAACUGUUAUUGAUAAAUCUGAUAGGACAGCCAUUACAAAUCCUUUACCAGUAGAUGAUAUUAACAUUACAACACAUGAUUCCAGCAGCCUACUUAUUGAUUGGUCCAUUACAAAACCAUUACAACAACAUCAUUUUGAAAUUGUGUAUGAAGAGAAUAAUGAUUCAGAAAAUAUCACAUUACCUAUGGUGCUAGCUCUUCAUGACAAAACAAGUUACCAAUCACAUAUCAUGAGGCUAACAGCUGGAUCCCUGUAUACAGUUCAUAUAAGAGCUGUACAAGAGUUUAAUGACCUGAAGAGUUACAGUUCCUGGAUUACUAUGAACAAAACCACAAAGCCCAAUUCAGUAACUGAAUUGAAGGCAGCAGUUUCUGGUCAAGAUGUCAUGUUGUCAUGGAAACCAAACAUCAACAGUACCCAGGACAGUUUCUAUAUCUGGUAUAGGCCAAUAUUAAAUCUCUCAUCCUUUUGGAGACAGACAUUCACACGUGACUUCCAGACGACCUUGAAAGGAAUGUUUGCAGGGGAGAGAUACGAGUUUAUAGUAUUUGCAGUCAGUAUUGGAGAAAUGAGUUUACCCAGAAAUGUCUUUGCUGAAGUUUUACCUCUGUCUCCAGAAGGUGUCACUACCUCAGACAUCUUGACAGAUUCUGUCACAUUAACAUGGUCAUACAACAAAUCAUCAACCUUUAUUGAGGAGUUUGAGUUGACCUACACUGGUUACCAUAGUGAUAGUGAGGGUGUGAUAACUGUAGAUGGUGGGAAUUCUACAUCUUCUGUUACCCUUAAUAGUCUGAUUUCUGGAGAGAGCUAUGAGAUCAGUAUUACAAGUCAAACAGGAAAUCUGACAUCAGAAGCCACUUCCAUGAAUGUUACAAUCAAGCCUGAAUGUUUGACAGCAUUACUGGAGAAUACAGCCUUGACUACAAGUGAUGUCAUUACUAUCCAGUAUACAGCUGUAUUAAAUCAGUUUGAUCAUUAUCAAUUUACUCUUGUCAAUGAUACACAAAGAUCACCUGUAAUAAAGAGCAGAAGUGAUACAAACAGAAUGGUCACAUUUGACAGAUUGAAAGGUGGAAGUUUGUAUGUUGUUGGUGUGUUGACAGUCAGUAACACACAGAUCAGUGAUAUAAGGAGUAUCUCCAUAUUCACAGCCCCAAACAGGCCUCAUGUAGAACAGAUCAGCACUGCUACAGAGAUAACACUGAUUAUUAACAAGCCAUCAGGUCGUGUAGACAGUUACCUGAUCAUAUGUGCACUGCACUCGUCUCCAUGUGGCAGUCAUACAAUAGAUGCCAAUAAAGAUAAAAUUACUCUACCUUUUGUAAAGCUGACACCAUAUCAGAAAUAUAAAUUCCAGAUCGUUACUUUUGCUGGUCUGAAAAAUGUGUCUUUCUUUAUGAAUAUAGAAACAGCACAAGCAGCACCAUCUGUAGUACAGAAUUUACAUGCUAAAGAGACAAAGCCAAGGGAAGUAGUCUUGACCUGGAAUGCCCCCAGGGUCACAAAUGGAAUAAUUACAGCUUAUGUUGUGGAAUAUCGGGGAAGAAGGAAUGACAUGGAACCUGUGAUUGACUCUAACGUAAGAACUAUCAUGGUAGACUCUACAUCAGCCUUCAUUGAUCCUAUAACAUACACACUCAAAGAUUUAACAGCAGGACUUAAAUAUAUAUUUAUGGUUUAUGCUAAGACUGUUACAAAUGGUCCUUCAGUGUCCAGUCUUCUUACAACAAGAACGUACAACCCAAUACUUAAGGAUGGAAUUAGUUCAGACAUGGCUGCCCCUAAACCUCCGGAAGACUCAACCUCUUCUGUAACACCGUCAACGAUAACUGCAAGAUUUACUAAUGCAUUCUCUGAGGACCAUGGGGAGAUAAUUCAGUACACCAUUAUAGUAGCUACCAGUACUGAUGAGGACUAUCUAAAUACCAACACCCUACCUGGAUGGAAGGCUUAUCAGAAUGACCCGUCCAUCAAAGCUUAUCAAGCCGUUUCUAAUUGUUCUGACUUCUUUGUACUGGAGUCUACAUGUAAUGGUCAUUUACAUGUUCAGAAAAGGAGUGUUGGGGAAGAGGAGUAUAAAACGUUCGUAAUCGGCAGUGAAACAAACUGCAAAGAUCCUCAUUAUUGUAAUGGACCUUUAAAACAGAACACCGAAUAUUACAUCAAGCUACGGGCCUACACAACUGGGGGACAUGCAGAUACAGUCUAUUCUCUUCCUUUCAAAACAGGUUCUGUAACAGAAGAAAGUAGUUAUGGAGGAAUCAUUGGUGGUAUUGUGGCAGCCGUUGUUAUCAUUGCUCUUAUUCUAUUUGCUGUUUUGUUCCUACGGAGAAAUAUCAGAUCAAAGAGUAACAUGUAUAGACAAGGUCAUGACCACAGGAUGACUCCUAGGUCAUCAAUGAGAAGUCACAAGAAAAAGCAUGAAAUAAACAUUGUAAACUUUAGAGACCAUGUGUUGACAAUGUCUGCUGACUCGGAUUUCAAGUAUGCUGAGGAAUUCGAGGAUUUGAAGGAAAUUGGGAGGGAGCAAUCAUGCUCAGCAGCAGAACUUCCAGUAAACCGUGGCAAGAAUAGAUUUACUAAUAUUCUACCAUAUGACCACUCCAGAGUCAAAUUACUACCAACAGAUGACGAAGAAGGAUCUGAUUAUAUCAAUGCUAAUUAUAUGCCUGGUUUUAAUUCGAAGAGAGAGUAUAUAGUGACACAAGGACCACUACCAUCUACAAGAGAUGACUUUUGGAGAAUGAUCUGGGAACAGAAUUCUAGGAAUGUUGUUAUGUUAACUAAAUGUGUAGAAAAAGGAAGGGAAAAAUGUGACCAGUAUUGGCCAUCAGGAUCAGAUGCCAUGUUUUAUGGUGAUAUACAAGUAGCUGUUCUGAAUGAGACAAAGUUUCCAUCAUGGACAGUUACAGAGUUCAGGAUUGCUCUGGGAGAUUUGACCAGACAAGUCAGACAUUUCCAUUUCACAGCUUGGCCAGAUUUUGGUGUUCCUGAUAAGCCACAAACAUUGAUAAGAUUCGUCAGAAUAGUCAGGGAAAAAUUAAUCAGGGAAUGUGGACCUAUUGUUGUUCACUGCAGUGCUGGUGUCGGAAGAUCUGGAACUUUCAUUGGCCUAGACAGACUACUACAGGACAUAUUAGAUCGUGAUAUUAUAGAUAUAUUUAAUGUGGUGGCAGAGAUGAGGAGAGAGAGGGUCUGGAUGGUACAAACAGAGCAACAAUAUGUAUGUAUACACCAGUGCCUUAUGUGUGUAUUAGAUGGUAAAGAAGAAGAACACGUGUAUGUUAACUCAGGAAACGUCAAUCAGGCAUUUGAAGGUAAGACAUUGAAACGUCAAUCAGGCAUUUGAAGGUAAGACAUUGAAACGUCAAUCAGGCAUUUGAAGGUAAGACAUUGAAACGUCAAUCAGGCAUUUGAAGGUAAGACAUUGAAACGUCAAUCAGGCAUUUGAAGGUAAGACAUUGAAACGUCAAUCAGGCAUUUGAAGGUAAGACAUUGAAACGUCAAUCAGGCAUUUGAAGAUGACGAAGGUAUCAAUGUUGAAGUGUCUUAAUCAGUGAUAUAUACACGAGAUGAUUCCUGUAUGUAAUGGAUCUGUUUUCAACAGUAGUGACUUUGAAUUAUAUGUUGUCACCUUAACAACUAUCUGUGGAGCUCAUUAUAGUAGAGGAAGAGUUCCAUUCAUUUUUUAUUCAAAUACUGAAGGUUUGGAAGAAGAUAUUUAUAUGCAAGAAUUUAUCCUAGAUUCUCAUGAAUAGAUUUUGCAGUGGAUACAUUCUAGAGAUCUGUAAUUUCUGUAUUGAAUAUUUGACCUGUUAAACUAACUAGUCUGUAUCUGCUGUUUUGAAAAAAAUAUUUAGGCCACUCAUUGUCUUCAAGUCUAAAUCUUGUCAUUACCAUGCAUAUAAAAUGUAUUUAUAAAGCUGUGGAAAUUUUAUUUUUUCACAAAUGAAUUAUAAAUAUAAACUUACUGAAGAUAAAUGUAUAAAAUAGAUACACAGAUCAUGUCAUAAACGCAGGAUGGUUUUAUGACUUUGCUCAAUUCAGGAUAUUAUGAAAAUAAUCUCUACUUUCAGACCAUCGUCUUAUUGUGAAUUUAGGCUAAUGGCUUCUUGAAAAGUUUAACAUGGGAACAAACCUUCAGUUAGAUGGCAAGCUACUUAAACAUUUUUUCAUUUGAUUAAAAUGUGUUAUUGAAAAUAUUUGUAAAUUCUUGGCUGUGAUUGUUGAAUUUGAUGAAUGUUUUUAUCUUGUGCAACGAAAAUUGUUAUUGCAUGGAGUCAUGUGCAGUUCAUAGUCCCUGUUAGAAGGAUAGUUUUGUAAAUAGGUUAGAAGUUAAAAUUGCAAUGAAAUAUUUUGUACUAAAAUAUUGUGUUAAAUAUUGAAAAAUAUUAUAACAAAGAGAAAAUUAUAAAACAAAUACUGUUCCAAGUAAAAAUAUGGUCAUUAUAUUAUGUUCUGUUCUUGUUAAAUUUUGACAGUCAAUUCAUGUUCAAAUCAUGUUAGUUAUUAUACAAAAGUGAUUUUAUUGUAACCACCAUUUUGAAAAAAUUUUUCAUAUACUAAAAAAAAAACCUGAUAAGGAACCUAUCACAAUUAUCUUGGUGCUCAAACAUUGAUAAGCCUUUGUCAUAACAUCAUUAUCAAACUAAAUAUGAACAAAAUCACAGAAUUUUGGUUAAAUUUAAAAUCCAGAAUAUUCAGAUUAUUUUGUAUUCUUUUUCAUAAUGAUAUGGUUUUUUUUUAAUUUGAUUCAUAGCCUGUGCCUUUUUGUAAAGAAAAUUUUGAUAAAAUUGUAUUCAAUUGAUGUCUAUGAAUCUAGAGAAUAUAUAAUUCUAUAGAUUAUAAAUAUAGAAAUGAUCUAGAAAAAUACUAUCUUACACCAAACUUACAAGAUAUUAUAUUUUUAAUAUUAAGAUAAGGGGAUUUGUAUAUUGAACAAAAUUUAUAGAGAUCUGUACAACGUUUUAAGAAGGUGCUAUAUUGAUGAUAUUAUUUCUAUAUAUCGUUGAAUGGAUUGAUUAUUAUUUUAAUCUUUUAUAGAACAGAUAUACAUUUGUAAAUAACGAUUUGUAAUUACAUAUUUCUGUUGAUGCGCAGUAUAUUGUAGUGAAAGUAAAACAGCAUAAGUGCCUUUUAACUUUUACAAAUUCUUUAUUUAUAGUCCGAAGCAAGACAACUUUACAAUAGAUAGGACAAGAGUUGUAAGUUCAGAAGGUCUUUCAAUAAGUGCUUAUUUUACAUUAUGAGUUCUCCAGUUUUCUGCUUUUUUAACCCUUCAUUGAGGGAUCUUUUCUAGGCUUAGCAUUUGUAAAUGCACAGUAACUCCUAUAUUUCUGCAUAGCCUAAUAUGCACAGAUAUAUAUGUAGCAAAGAAAGAAAGGCUGAAAUACUUAUUAACCUCCCUAGGCAAAGUUGACUUUAGAUGAAUUUGACUAUUCUUGUGUUUGGUCCAUUUUUGUUACUAAGAUCCUGACAUAUUCAAGUACUUAUAUCUCACUGGCUUUCAAAGUUUUGGGUUUUAGCAUUCCCGAUGAAGGUUCACCUAGAAAAGUGCUUUGUACACACAUAAUCUAAAAACUUAUUUUCAUCAUUUAUUGAAAAAAUAUUACAACACACAUAGACUUUAAUACUUUAUGUAUGAAUACUAGUCAGUUAAUGUACAUUAUAAGUAGAUGCAAUAUUGUUGCAGAUUUUUGCUGUCAUUACCACUCAGUUUAUUUUUGCCAAACAUUUAACUAGUACAUGUGUUUAUUUUACUAUUUAGUCAUUAUUGUAUCUUGUUUGUGUAUAUUUUUCUGCACCAGUGCAAUAGCAUUUUUGUGUAGUUAGGAUGUUUUACGUGCUUUUAAGUUUGGUUGUAUUAGUUUUGAAAAUAAAAUAUAACAUAUAUAUACGUGUAUUUUUGGAAGAAUAAGAAUAUAGACCCUUUUUGAAUUUAUCAUAUUCUAAGUCAAAUAUAAAAAAACCAUGGUCUGUUAUAAUAGAAAUGAUUAUGUGUUACACAUUCCAGUAAGAAGGUUUAAAGGCCCACCAUUUUUUAUUUGAUAAUCAAAAGUCUGGUGUUUUAGGGGUUUUACAUGAUUACACAACAAUUUUAGACAUUUUUUAUACUCUUUAAAAAUAUGAUUAUAGAAAAAAAGAAAACAAUAGUAAUGAAAAGAAAAGAUAUGUAGUAGAAAUCUAUACUAGACAAAACUCCAAGUAUUUGUGCAGUCUCUUUGAGGUAUAUCCUACAUCUCUUUAUUCAUCACUGAAGAUGAACAGAUGGUUGUCAUUCAAAAUGUAAUUGGAUUAUUAUUCAUUUGCAAUUUCCGAUGACAAUUUUGAAUAAAUGAUAAAUGUAUUGAUUGCUGUGUGUCAAAUUUUUCAGUUGUUUAUAAUUAUUUUUGGAUUUGGUUAAACAUCAUAGUUAUCAUAUUUUUAAUAAAUACUUAGAUUAACUCUCAUAGAAUUAUGCCAUUUAAAUAUAAUUAUGUAUUUUCUUCACAUUCCAUUAUUGAUAUUUCGUUAUAUGGAAAAGAAAAGUAUAAUUUUCCCAUCUGGUUGUGUAGAAGUUUACAGGUAUUUACAAAGAUAUUUAUGAUGAUGAUUAAAGUUGGAAAUGUUUUAUGAUAUAUCAAAUAUGGUUGAAUUUAUUAAAAUGAAUUGUAAGUAAUAUAGUAAAAACUUUGUAUGAAUUGAAGCAUUUAUUUUGUACAUUUUCUGUAUUUGGAUAAACUAUACAGACGUUGUUAUGCGAAUGUUUAUAAAGUAAUUAUCUGAUGAAACUUUUGCCAAUUUUUUUAUCAAAGAUCUGAUUUAGAAACAAAAAAUUGCUUUUACUUUAAAAGCACUGUAGUCCUUAGAGGGGACAUUAUCUUAAAACAAGGUGUAAAAAGUUUUCCUUUGUUGAGGAUUGAUGUCAACGAUAGAAGAUACCUGGUUCAGUUUGAUAAAUAAUAAAAUAGAUUUUUAGAAUUGUGGGUAUAAUAUAAAAAAGUUCAAUAUGUAUUUUUGAGAUUGUCUGGAUUUGAGAGUGAAUGCUGUAAACAGUAUUGUUUGAGGGCAUUGUUUUAUUUAUUUUUGUGUCUUAUACACACAUUUCAUAUUUUUACAAAGAUAUUUUUAUAGUAUGCAUUUAGAGUUGUAAUUGUUUUGUAAUAGACCACAACUGAUAACAUAUAUAUGUAAUAAUCUUGUUUUUAUACAAAAUGUUAUAUAAAACUUGAAAUGGCAUUGCAUUUCAACUAACAAUUUAGCUUUUCUGAAUAUAUAAUAUGGCUCCAGUUAGAUAUAAUUAUCUUACUUAUUUUAAAAUUGUUCUUGCCAAAAGUUAAGAGUUAAUCUUUUAUAAAAGAAGUGACAUUCAUGAAAUUAUCUUUACGAUAAGUUUGGAUUAAAUUAUAUUUAGAAAAACAGAAGUAUAAAGUAACCAUAUUAUAUAUACGAAAUGGAAGAGCAAAGAAGGGAAAUAUUUUGAGGUUGUAGACUUUAAGCAUUUCAGCUGUGGAAGAUAAUGAUCAUAUUCUCCUUCUGAUAAACUCAUGUUCAACAACUUUUUAUUUUAAUUAAUUUAGUACUUAGCAGUUAUUGUUUCAUAUUUCAGUGUAAUUGUUUGUUAAAAUGUGACUAUAUUUUAAUUAUAUUUUGUAAUUGUCUUUGUAAAUAAAUAUACAAAUGUG
Mytilus californianus (California mussel) is the source of this 9790-nucleotide RNA transcript. It is a transcript of the gene named tyrosine-protein phosphatase 10D-like, with no coding region annotated. The record is from RefSeq and is a predicted model, not a curated record. The transcript is spliced from 32 exons. NCBI's taxonomy places the organism in Eukaryota, Metazoa, Mollusca, Bivalvia, Mytilida, Mytilidae.